UUUAAACUACAGGCUGAGCUUGCUUUGUAUUUUAUACAGUUUGUGUCUAUGAAGAUAAAUUUAACUACCACGUCCGGCCAGUGGAUUAUAUUAGUCAGACAGUUCAUAGGUAGAUCUAUCAACAUGCAAGGAAAAAAACUCCUAUUUUUUUCUUUUCUAUUGCUUAAAGUUAAAACAAAUUAAUCCUUGCUGAAUAAGUGGAGGGUUCAAGAUCCAUUUAUUUCAACCCAAGGCACUGGUGCUUACUAUAUCGCUUUGUUGACUUGAGAAUUGGAUUUAUCAUAUCUCCUACAAAAAAAAUACUAUCAAUUCUUUAACAAAAAUCACACGUUCUAAAGAAAAAUUGAUUCAAAUAUAGCUUGAAAUGUAGGUAAAUCGUCUACUUAGAGAUAGAAAUUUCAGAAUUUAAACAAUUCAGUUGACAGCUCCUUGACUGAUUCAAGAUCCAGCUCUUAGACCUUUGAAACCAGUAGUAUGUGCAGAGGAAAGGAGCAAAGAUUAGGAAGAGUUGAAGAAUUCUAACCAACAUGCAAGAUCGUGGUCAAUGGCCAUCUGAGAUUUCUCUGUCUCCAGUGUAUAAAUAUUUUGUGUGCAAUCAUGUAUAUAUGGACUUUCUUCUUUACUUUAGAUGUGUAACGGGGUUUAUGGAGACUGACAUGCUGAUUUAUUAAGUUUCAGUGCUAGGCACCUUCCUUCCCAUCAGUAGUUGCUUCUGCCUUUGAAACGAGUAGAGGCUGCAAGAAUUUUAAAAAGAAAAAUAUGUGACGUUGAGUAAUUCUUGACAAGUUACUCGCACACCAUGCCUAGGGACAUCAACGAAAUUUUGAGAUAUUUGACCUGUCUAAAUAUUAAGUUUUAAAUGAUUCAGUUGAUCAUAC
RNAcentral lists this long non-coding RNA (878 nucleotides) under Nicotiana benthamiana. RNAcentral describes it as "long non-coding RNA (NBEN_LNC018950)". The record is from RNAcentral. Lineage: Eukaryota; Viridiplantae; Streptophyta; Magnoliopsida; Solanales; Solanaceae.